CCUACGGGCGGCAGCAGUGGGGAAUAUUGGGCAAUGGGCGCAAGCCUGACCCAGCAACGCCGCGUGAAGGAAGAAGGCUUUCGGGUUGUAAACUUCUUUUAGGAGGGAAGAGCAGAAGACGGUACCUCUUGAAUAAGCAACGGCUAACUACGUGCCAGCAGCCGCGGUAAUACGUAGGUGGCCAGCGUUGUCCGGAUUUCAUGGGUGUAAAGGUCGUGCAGGCGGGAAGACAAGUCAGUUGUGAAAUCCCGCGGCUCAACGGCGGAAGUGAAUUUGACACUGGUUUACUUGUGUGCCAGAGAGGGAAUGGGAAUUCCUGGUGUAGGGGUGAAAUGCGUAGAUAUAAGGAAGAACACCAGUGGCGAAGGCGGAUGACUGGA
This 380-nucleotide ribosomal RNA is filed under the name uncultured bacterium. RNAcentral's name for it is "partial 16S ribosomal RNA". It matches the Rfam family "Bacterial small subunit ribosomal RNA", at positions 338 to 733 of the family's 1533-position model. The record is from RNAcentral.